Molecule: ribosomal RNA, 392 nt
Filed under: uncultured bacterium
Lineage: Bacteria
Description: partial 16S ribosomal RNA
Rfam family: Bacterial small subunit ribosomal RNA
Source: RNAcentral
AUACGGAGGAUGCAAGCGUUAUCCGGAUUUAUUGGGUUUAAAGGGUGCGUAGGCUGUUCGGAAAGUCAGGGGUGAAAGCCCGGCGCCUAACGCCGGAACUGCCUUUGAUACUUCCGAGCUGGAAUACGGAUGCCGUGGGAGGAAUGAGUAGUGUAGCGGUGAAAUGCAUAGAUAUUACUCAGAACACCGAUUGCGAAGGCAUCUCACGAAUCCGUCAUUGACGCUGAGGCACGAAAGCGUGGGGAUCAAACAGGAUUAGAUACCCUGGUAGUCCACGCAGUAAACGAUGAUGACUAACCGUCGGCGAUACACAGUCGGUGGCCAAGCGAAAGCGAUAAGUCAUCCACCUGGGGAGUACGUUCGCAAGAAUGAAACUCAAAGGAAUUGACGGG